GGGCCGCUAGCUCAGCUGGUUAGAGCAGUUGACUCAUAAUCAUCAGGUCCACGGUUCGAGCCCGUGGCGGCCCACCA
RNAcentral lists this transfer RNA (77 nucleotides) under Clostridiales bacterium. RNAcentral's name for it is "tRNA-Ile". It matches the Rfam family "tRNA". From Rfam's summary of the family: Transfer RNA (tRNA) molecules are approximately 80 nucleotides in length. Their secondary structure includes four short double-helical elements and three loops (D, anti-codon, and T loops). The record is from RNAcentral. Lineage: Bacteria; Bacillati; Bacillota; Clostridia; Eubacteriales.